UAGGGAAUCUCCCACAAUGGGCGAAAGCCUGAUGGAGCAACGCCGCGUGUGUGAUGAAGGGUUUCGGCUCGUAAAACACUGUUGUAAGAGAAGAAUGACAUUGAGAGUAACUGUUCAAUGUGUGACGGUAUCUUACCAGAAAGGAACGGCUAAAUACGUGCCAA
RNAcentral lists this ribosomal RNA (164 nucleotides) under uncultured bacterium. Its description in RNAcentral is "partial 16S ribosomal RNA". It matches the Rfam family "Bacterial small subunit ribosomal RNA", at positions 355 to 511 of the family's 1533-position model. The record is from RNAcentral.